UGCGGGAUGGAGCAGUCUGGUAGCUCGUCGGGCUCAUAACCCGAAGGUCGUUGGUUCAAAUCCUCACUUUCAG
Molecule: transfer RNA, 73 nt
Filed under: Acinetobacter pittii
Lineage: Bacteria; Pseudomonadati; Pseudomonadota; Gammaproteobacteria; Moraxellales; Moraxellaceae
Description: tRNA-Met
Rfam family: tRNA
About the family: Transfer RNA (tRNA) molecules are approximately 80 nucleotides in length. Their secondary structure includes four short double-helical elements and three loops (D, anti-codon, and T loops).
Source: RNAcentral